Molecule: ribosomal RNA, 656 nt
Filed under: uncultured bacterium
Lineage: Bacteria
Description: bacterial SSU rRNA
Rfam family: Bacterial small subunit ribosomal RNA
Source: RNAcentral
ACAAUGUGGCAUCACAAAGAUCAAAUAUUUAUAGGACAAAGAUGGGCAUGCGGAACAUUAGCUAGUUGGUAAGGUAGGCUUACCAAGGCUACGAUGUUUAGGGGAUCUGAGAGGAUGACCCCCCACACUGGUACAGACACGGACCAGACUCCUACGGGAGGCAGCAGUAAGGAAUAUUGGUCAAUGGACGGAUCUGAACCAGCCAUGCCGCGUGCAGGAAGACGGCCCUAUGGGUUGUAAACUGCUUUUGGGGGAAUAAACCCCCGUAUGUAUACGGGGCUGAAUGUACUCUGAGAAUAAGGAUCGGCACUCCGUGCCAGCAGCCGCGGUAAUACGGAGGAUCCGAGCGUUAUCCGGAUUUAUUGGUUAAAGGGUGCGUAGGUGGCUUUUUAAGUCAGGGGUGAAAGACGGUAGCUUAACUAUCAGUGCCUUUGAUACUGAAGAGCUUGAAUACACUAGAGGUAGGCGGAAUGUGACAAGUAGGUGAAAUGCAUAGAUAUGUCACAGAACACCAAUUGCGAAGGCAGCUUACUAUGGUGCUUGACACUGAGGCACGAAAGCGUGGGGAUCAAACAGGAUUAGAUACCCUGGUAGUCCACCCUAAACGAUGAAUACUCGAUGUUGUCGAUAUACGGUCAGCGUCUAAGCGAAAGCGU